CCUACGGGAGGCAGCAGUGAGGAAUAUUGGUCAAUGGACGCAAGUCUGAACCAGCCAUGCCGCGUGCAGGAAGACGGCUCUAUGAGUUGUAAACUGCUUUUGUACGAGGGUAAACGCAGAUACGCGUCUCUUUCUGAAAGUAUCGUACGAAUAAGGAUCGGCUAACUCCGUUCCAGCAGCCGCGGCAAUACGGAGGAUUCAAGCGUUAUCCGGAUUUAUUGGGUUUAAAGGGUGCGUAGGCGGAUUGGUAAGUUAGAGGUGAAAUGUCCGAGCUUAACUCGGGAACUGCUUUUAAUACUGUUGAUCUAGAGAGUAGAUGAGGUAGGCGGAAGGUAUGGUGUAGCGGUGGAAUGCGUAGAGAUCAUACAGAACACCGAUUGCGAAGGCAGCUUACCAGUCUAUAUCUGACGUUGAGGCACGAAAGCGUGGGGAGCAAACAGGAUUAGAUACCCGUGUGGUC
Molecule: ribosomal RNA, 460 nt
Filed under: uncultured bacterium
Lineage: Bacteria
Description: partial 16S ribosomal RNA
Rfam family: Bacterial small subunit ribosomal RNA
Source: RNAcentral